GGCUAAUUAUUGACUGCUGCACAGCAGAACACUACCACGGUGAGAUUGGGCUGUGAGAUGACUUGAAAGCUGUUUCCUCAGUAUAGGUCUUAUUCUUGCAGCUGGGACACCUUGAUGAAGACUGUGUAACAGCUUUCUGUGUUUCACAACAAGAGAAGAGAGAGUAGAUCAGCAUUAACAUCAGAGGUAAUAAACGUAUGUCAGUAAUUCUCUGUAUUUAAGCCCACUCCUACAGUAAAUAACCUUACUGUAUGAACAGACUCUAACACUCACUUAUUCUCAAACAUGAAAUAUUUCACACCUUUCAGAGGUAAGGUACCACUGCAGAACUUCAUAGUCUACCUAAUAACUACAUUUCUGAAGUUCACAUUUAUUCCUUUUUUCUCCUUUAAUUGUGUUUUCUCAGCCUUUCUGUUAUAUUUUACCAUGCUGAAAUCCUUAUGAAUCUCUGGAAGUCCAGGCAGACUCAAAACAGAAACUGAUGGAUGAACAGCAGAUGUCACAUGCUGGCUUAACUCCCUGCUUUGAAAUGUUUCACUAAUAGGUGGAAAAUAUCAACACAUCAGCGAAUUACGACCAGUUGUGGCAACCUAUCUCUUGCUUCAGUCUAAGAAGGCUCGUGGCAAGCACAUUCCCUUGAGAUUUCCAUCCCAAACAGGACGUGCCAGUACCACAGAGUCAGGAAGCCUGGGGAUCCCAGCAGAGCCAGUCAGCCUGCGCCAGUGGAGGAGCUGCUGCCUUGGAAGUGCAGACCCAGUCAGCUGUUGUGGAAUUCCUCAUCAGCCACGCAGAUGUCCUCUUCUGCUCCAAAUCCACACCAGCCUUGGGAGAGGGAGUAGGGCACAGUUCUCUGUCCGGGCCCAAGUCUGUGUGGGUGUCUCCUCCAUCCACAAAGCUGCUCACACUGCAGGAGGCACAGGCUGAGAGGAGAGGCCAGAGCAGCUCUCCCACUGUGACACGGAGCAGCAGGAUACAAGUAAAGGAAGGCCCCGCAGCUGUACUGGGAAGA
Coturnix japonica (Japanese quail) is the source of this 1009-nucleotide non-coding RNA. Lineage: Eukaryota; Metazoa; Chordata; Aves; Galliformes; Phasianidae. The record is from RefSeq and is a predicted model, not a curated record.